UAAGGAAUAUUGGACAAUGGAGGCAACUCUGAUCCAGCCAUGCCGCGUGAAGGAAUAAGGCCCUAUGGGUUGUAAACUUCUUUUAGACGGGACAAAACCCCUUUACGUGUAAAGGGUUGAUGGUACUGUCAGAAUAAGCAUCGGCUAACUUCGUGCCAGCAGCCGCGGUAAUACGAAGGAUGCAAGCGUUAUCCGGAAUUAUUGGGUUUAAAGGGUGCGUAGGCGGACUAAUAAGUCAGUGGUGAAAGCCUGCAGCUUAACUGCAGAAUUGCCAGUGNUACUGUUAGUCUUGAGUACAGUUGAGGUAGGCGGAAUGUGUCAUGUAGCGGUGAAAUGCUUAGAUAUGACACAGAACACCGAUUGCGAAGGCAGCUUGCUAAGCUGUAACUGACGCUGAGGCACGAAAGCGUGGGGAGCAAACA
Molecule: ribosomal RNA, 422 nt
Filed under: uncultured bacterium
Lineage: Bacteria
Description: bacterial SSU rRNA
Rfam family: Bacterial small subunit ribosomal RNA
Source: RNAcentral